CCUACGGGAGGCUGCAGUGAGGAAUAUUGGUCAAUGGACGAGAGUCUGAACCAGCCAAGUAGCGUGAAGGAUGACUGCCCUAUGGGUUGUAAACUUCUUUUAUAUGGGAAUAAAAUGUUCCACGUGUGGGAUUUUGUAUGUACCAUAUGAAUAAGGAUCGGCUAACUCCGUGCCAGCAGCCGCGGUAAUACGGAGGAUCCGAGCGUUAUCCGGAUUUAUUGGGUUUAAAGGGAGCGUAGGUGGAUUGUUAAGUCAGUUGUGAAAGUUUGCGGCUCAACCGUAAAAUUGCAGUUGAAACUGGCAGUCUUGAGUACAGUAGAGGUGAGCGGAAUUCGUGGUGUAGCGGUGAAAUGCUUAGAUAUCACGAAGAACUCCGAUUGCGAAGGCAGUUCACUGGACUGCAAAUGACACUGAGGCUCGAAAGUGUGGGUAUCAAACAGGAUUAGAUACCCCUGUAGUC
RNAcentral lists this ribosomal RNA (460 nucleotides) under uncultured bacterium. RNAcentral's name for it is "partial 16S ribosomal RNA". It matches the Rfam family "Bacterial small subunit ribosomal RNA", at positions 338 to 795 of the family's 1533-position model. The record is from RNAcentral.